Gossypium raimondii (Peruvian cotton) is the source of this 1411-nucleotide long non-coding RNA. RefSeq lists it as uncharacterized. Lineage: Eukaryota; Viridiplantae; Streptophyta; Magnoliopsida; Malvales; Malvaceae. The record is from RefSeq and is a predicted model, not a curated record. The transcript has 6 exons.
CCUAAUUUCCCCCUUGAAACCCCCAACUUUACAAACACACCGUCCUUUAAAACUUUUGAACGCUAUUUUUUCUUUCUCUGCAGAACUUUUCUUAACCCACAAGCUUUAGCUGUUCUAUGCGAUUCCAUCACGGAUCCAAAGGACACGAGGCUCCGCGAAUUAGAAUUGUUCGUGCGUGGCUUAUGCGUAUGAUGCUGGCAUUGGUUGCAUGUUAUGGAGUAGAGAUUUGAUUGAUGUCCAGAAAUUCUCUAAUCGGGGAGUCGAUCUUUACAUUCAUCUGCCAUCUUCGGAACUUGAUAAAGGGAAUAGUGAGAUAAUUGUUAUUACAACAGUAAUUUCAGGCAUGGUCAUGAUUAUAAUAAUUUCUGCACUCUUCUUAUUGCGUAGAAUGGGUCAACAAAGAGCAUGCAACAAACUAUAGAACGUUAUAGGCGGCAUACAAAGGAUAACGAAACUAAUAAGCCAAUUGAACAAAACCUGCAAGUUAGCAUGUCUUUUGUUUUUGAUGUCUUAAUGCAAUUAAUUAUAGAUUUAUUUAUGAUUUUCAUCUCUUUACUUUAUAUAGAUUCUCCUUCAUUUGUUAGUAAACACAUGAAUUUGAAUCACUAGUUUUUGUUAAUUGUCAUGUAUAAAUUGGUAAGGUUUAACCUUAUUGUCAUAUUGGAUUAAUUUCAUGUAAAUAUAAAUUAUAUAUAUACCCAGGUUAUUAAUUUCAUGUUUUUAUGGUGCAUAUCGACUGAGAAUGGCAGCAUCUAGAGGCUGAAUCAGCAAACAUGUUGAAGACAGUAGAGGAUCUUGAAGUUUCAAGAAGGGGGAUCUCUUUUUGGAUAUGAUCUUGGUGUUUCUGGUGGAGUGACUUCCCUGGAUGAUUUCUUGAAGGAAUUCUUCCCAAAUAUAUAGAGAAGGAAACAAGCACAUCUUCAUGAAACUGACUACUGCAAACAUGACAACCAGCUCCUCACACUUUUUAAGUCUUCCCUCUACUUCGCAGGCCUUGUUUCUACAUUUGGAGCCUCCUAUGUUACUAGAAACAAAGGGCGUCGAGCCAACAUCCUUGUUGGUGCAGUCAGCUUCUUCCUAGGAAGAGCUAGCAAUGCAGGUGCGGUGAAUAUCACAAUAUUGAUCAUAGGACGCAUUCUUCUUGCUGCAGACAUCUAAAUGUGUUUGGUAUUUUAGGUAUCCAACAUUUAUUGAUGCACUUAGAGAUUUGGAUGAUCCUCUUACAAUGGUGCACCUGUUUGCAAUGUUAACUUUGAAUCUUUGAAUCUUUGGAUUUAGGAUUUGUUUGAAUUAUCUUUCUAAUUAGUUACUUUUCUCAUUUCCUACUGGAUAGAAAUGUGUUUGACUCUGGAUAUUUUCAUCAUUUCAGGCAAGAAUGAUUGAUUUUUAUUACAGUCUGAUUAUGGUUUUA